Carya illinoinensis is the source of this 919-nucleotide long non-coding RNA. RefSeq lists it as uncharacterized. The record is from RefSeq and is a predicted model, not a curated record. Lineage: Eukaryota; Viridiplantae; Streptophyta; Magnoliopsida; Fagales; Juglandaceae. The transcript has 2 exons.
UGCUAUGUACAACCGCCUCGCGUCCUCGCUGCGGCCUCGCAUCCGACGUGGCAAAAAAAUGAAACGGAGUCGUUUUCAUUUCGAACCCCACGUCUUCACGUCCCACUCAUUCUCUUUUCCGAAACGCUUUCGUCUUCGUCUUUUUCUUCUCCAUCCCUAGAAAUCGUCUUCUCCAUCGUCUUCUUCUUCUUCUUCUCCAUCCCUAGAAAUCGUCGUCUUCUCCAUCCAAAGGUCGUACCCAGAAAAAUAGUUGGGUAUUCAGACAAGUUUUGGACUUUUUCUCUAUUGUCGCCUUCUCCGUCGUCUUCUCCAUUACUCUACACAAGUAAAGCUUUUGUACUUAGGGUUAGAGUUCAUGCAACAGGCCUAUAUUCGUGGGUAUUCGGGAAAAAAAAAAAAACUUAUUUCUUAAGGUUGAUCUAGGGAUUUGGCUGUUGUGGGCUUCCGGGAUAUUAAUCCUAAUUUCUAGGUAUUCGGCCAAGUUCUGGACUUUUUCUUCACUUUUUAGAUGGUUGUACAUUUCAGAUUUAUCUCAGAGGGUAUUGAUCGAGGAGCAUGGGACCAUGACCAAAGUAUAAGGGUGGAACUUCCCUUUCCCAGAUAUGAGAUGCUGUGCGUAUAAUGCCUGGCCUUCCUCUUCAAGCCAUUUGAUUAUCUUGUAUAUGUGAAAAAGAGCCUAGGGCGAUUGAUACCCUGUUUGGAAUAAAGAAACUAGAUCGAUAGCUCCUGCAGUCAAUGUGUUUGUAAAUCGAUAUAUAUAUAUAUAUAUUAAGAAAGACUUAAUCAUGGAUAUAUUCUACAAAGCUGCACUGAUUCUAGGGAUGUUAUCAGUGUUUUAUGCCUACAUGAACACCUGGAACAAAUUUGAUGUAAUAUAUUCUCCAUCGUAUGCACUUGUGAUAUAAUAUAUUUGUUAUCA